GUGCCAGCAGCCGCGGUAAUACGUAGGUGGCAAGCGUUGUCCGGAAUUAUUGGGCGUAAAGCGCGCGCAGGCGGUCCUUUAAGUCUGAUGUGAAAGCCCACGGCUCAACCGUGGAGGGUCAUUGGAAACUGGGGGACUUGAGUGCAGAAGAGGAGAGUGGAAUUCCACGUGUAGCGGUGAAAUGCGUAGAGAUGUGGAGGAACACCAGUGGCGAAGCGACUCUCUGGUCUGUAACUGACGCUGAGGCGCGAAAGCGUGGGGAGCGAACAGGAUUGUAUACCCUUGUUAGUCC
Molecule: ribosomal RNA, 292 nt
Filed under: uncultured microorganism
Description: partial 16S ribosomal RNA
Rfam family: Bacterial small subunit ribosomal RNA
Source: RNAcentral